RNAcentral lists this ribosomal RNA (468 nucleotides) under uncultured bacterium. RNAcentral describes it as "partial 16S ribosomal RNA". It matches the Rfam family "Bacterial small subunit ribosomal RNA", at positions 28 to 507 of the family's 1533-position model. The record is from RNAcentral.
GAUGAACGCUGGCGGCGUGCUUAACACAUGCAAGUCGAACGGAAACGAGCUGCUUUUGCGGGGUGCUCGAGUGGGGAAGGGGUGAGUAACACGUGAGUAACCUGCCCUUGACUUUGGGAUAAAUUCAGGAAACUGGGGCUAAUAACGGCUAGGAGCUCCUGCUGCAUGGUGGGGGUUGGAAAGUUUCGGCGGUUGGGGAUGGACUCGGGGCUUGUCAGCUUGUUGGUGGGGUAGUGGAUUACCAAGGCAUUGACGGGUAGCCGGCCUGGGAGGGGGGCCGGCCACAUUGGGCCUGAACUGCGGCACAGACUCCUCCGGUAGGCAGCAGAGGGGAAUAUAGCACAACGGGCGGAAGCCUGAUGCAACAGCGCCGCGUGCGGGAUGACGGCCUUCGGGUUGGAAACCGCUUUCGCCUGUGACGAAGCGUGAGUGACGGUAAUGUGUAAAGAAGCACCGGCUAACUACGUG